Molecule: ribosomal RNA, 405 nt
Filed under: uncultured bacterium
Lineage: Bacteria
Description: bacterial SSU rRNA
Rfam family: Bacterial small subunit ribosomal RNA
Source: RNAcentral
GCAAGGAAUUUUGCGCAAUGGGCGAAAGCCUGACGCAGCAACGCCGCGUGGGGGAAGAAGGCCUUCGGGUCGUAAACCCCUUUUGUAGGGGAAGUAACUGACGGUACCCUACGAAUAAGCCACGGCUAACUACGUGCCAGCAGCCGCGGUAAUACGUAGGUGGCAAGCGUUGUCCGGAUUUACUGGGCGUAAAGCGCGCGCAGGCGGCUCACCAAGUCUGGGGUGAAAUCUCCCGGCUUAACCGGGAGGGGUCUCUGGAUACUGGUGGGCUUGAGGGGAGCAGAGGAGAGUGGAAUUCCCGGUGUAGCGGUGAUAUGCGUAGAUAUCGGGAGGAACACCAGUGGCGAAGGCGGCUCUCUGGGCUCUCCCUGACGCUGAGGCGCGAAAGCGUGGGGAGCAAACCGG